This 51-nucleotide transfer RNA is filed under the name Haliotis tuberculata coccinea. RNAcentral describes it as "partial tRNA-Glu". The record is from RNAcentral. Lineage: Eukaryota; Metazoa; Mollusca; Gastropoda; Lepetellida; Haliotidae.
GGUAGCACAUUAGGUUUUCGUCCUAGGGGCAUACAGUUUGUGUAUCGGGAA